Molecule: small RNA, 424 nt
Filed under: Oryza sativa Japonica Group (Japanese rice)
Lineage: Eukaryota; Viridiplantae; Streptophyta; Magnoliopsida; Poales; Poaceae
Description: sRNA Os02g0664050
Source: RNAcentral
CUCCAUGCUGAGUGGAGAAGUAGUUGGCGCAUAGCGCUCCACAACACGCCCCUCUUUGUCGACCAAGAACUUGGAGAAGUUCCAUUUGAUAUUGUCACCGAAAAGACCACCUUUGCUGGACUUCAGAAACUUGUAGAUGGUGGUAUAAUGUGCCCAAAUUUACCUUAUCAAAAAUUGGAUACUCGGCCUUGAAGCGGGUGCAAGCAAAUUGGACAAUCUCCUCAUUAGUGCCAGGUUCCUGUCCACCAAACUGGUUGCAUGGGAAAGCAAGGAUCUCAAAACCUGUCGUCAAAUCAAAUUGACAAUGACAUUAGCAAUUGGUGAGGGAUUGGUAAUAAUUGGUACCACUGAGAUGCAACAUUGACGAUAAGGAGGACUUUCCCCUUGAAGGUGCUCAGGUCCACAUCUUUGCCACUUGCAUCCU